RNAcentral lists this long non-coding RNA (291 nucleotides) under Phaseolus vulgaris (common bean). RNAcentral describes it as "long non-coding RNA (PVUL_LNC001979)". The record is from RNAcentral. Lineage: Eukaryota; Viridiplantae; Streptophyta; Magnoliopsida; Fabales; Fabaceae.
GAACCACACCGCAAGUGCCUUCGGUUCCUUCAACCAAGCCAUUCAAAUCCUAAAAACCGAUGGAUAUGGCUGCGUUCUUAUGAAUGCAGCUUUUCGUUGUGCGCGCCGACUUCCGUGGAAUGUUCCCGUUAACGAAAGAUCUGGCGGCCUUUUGAUUUUUAACGGAGUUUCGAUGUUCUUUCCGACAUGUUCUUGUUGUUGAUUAUGAGAAAACCUGUUUGAUCCUUUUGAAUUUUGAGGCACUUUAAUUUUUUAAUUAUUGCUGUAGAAAUACAUUCAUUCUUGUGUUGC